This 565-nucleotide ribosomal RNA is filed under the name uncultured Comamonadaceae bacterium. RNAcentral describes it as "bacterial SSU rRNA". It matches the Rfam family "Bacterial small subunit ribosomal RNA", at positions 88 to 648 of the family's 1533-position model. The record is from RNAcentral. Lineage: Bacteria; Pseudomonadati; Pseudomonadota; Betaproteobacteria; Burkholderiales; Comamonadaceae.
GUGGCGAGUGGCGCACUGGGUGAGUAAUACAUCGGAACGUGCCUAGUCGUGGGGGAUAACGUAGCGAAAGUUACGCUAAUACCGCAUACGAUCUAUGGAUGAAAGCGGGGGACCGUAAGGCCUCGCGCGAUUGGAGCGGCCGAUGUCAGAUUAGGUAGUUGGUGGGGUAAAGGCCCACCAAGCCGACGAUCUGUAGCUGGUCUGAGAGGACGACCAGCCACACUGGGACUGAGACACGGCCCAGACUCCUACGGGAGGCAGCAGUGGGGAAUUUUGGACAAUGGGCGCAAGCCUGAUCCAGCCAUUCCGCGUGCAGGACGAAGGCCUUCGGGUUGUAAACUGCUUUUGUACGGAACGAAAAGGUCCUGGUUAAUACCCGGGGCUCAUGACGGUACCGUAAGAAUAAGCACCGGCUAACUACGUGCCAGCAGCCGCGGUAAUACGUAGGGUGCAAGCGUUAAUCGGAAUUACUGGGCGUAAAGCGUGCGCAGGCGGUUAUGUAAGACAGAUGUGAAAAUCCCGGGGCUCACCUGGGAACUGCAUUUGUGACUGCAUAGCUAGAGUA